UACAGAGGUCUCAAGCGUUGUUCGGAUUCAUUGGGCGUAAAGGGUGCGCAGGCCGCGCGGGCAGUCAAAUGUGUAAUUCAGGGGCUCAACCCCUGGACUGCGCUUGAUACUUCCGCGCUUGAACCUUGGAGAGGAGUCUGGAAUUCUCGGUGUAGCAGUGAAAUGCGUGGAUAUCGAGAAGAACACUAAGGGCGAAGGCAAGACUCUAGACAGGUGUUGACGCUCAUGCACGAAGGCUAGGGUAGCGAACGGG
Molecule: ribosomal RNA, 253 nt
Filed under: uncultured bacterium
Lineage: Bacteria
Description: partial 16S ribosomal RNA
Rfam family: Bacterial small subunit ribosomal RNA
Source: RNAcentral